GACGAACGCUGGCGGCGUGCUUAACACAUGCAAGUCGAACGGAAAGGCCCUGCUUUUGUGGGGUGCUCGAGUGGCGAACGGGUGAGUAACACGUGAGUAACCUGCCCUUGACUUUGGGAUAACUUCAGGAAACUGGGGCUAAUACCGGAUAGGAGCUCCUGCUGCAUGGUGGGGGUUGGAAAGUUUCGUCGGUUGGGGAUGGACUCGCGGCUUAUCAGCUUGUUGGUGGGGUAGUGGCUUACCAAGGCUUUGACGGGUAGCCGGCCUGAGAGGGUGACCGGCCACAUUGGGACUGAGAUACGGCCCAGACUCCUACGGGAGGCAGCAGUGGGGAAUAUUGCACAAUGGGCGGAAGCCUGAUGCAGCAACGCCGCGUGCGGGAUGAAGGCCUUCGGGUUGUAAACCGCUUUCGCCUGUGACGAAGCGUGAGUGACGGUAAUGGGUAAAGAAGCACCGGCUAACUACGUG
Molecule: ribosomal RNA, 468 nt
Filed under: uncultured bacterium
Lineage: Bacteria
Description: partial 16S ribosomal RNA
Rfam family: Bacterial small subunit ribosomal RNA
Source: RNAcentral